RNAcentral lists this transfer RNA (84 nucleotides) under Treponema sp. CETP13. RNAcentral describes it as "tRNA-Leu". It matches the Rfam family "tRNA". From Rfam's summary of the family: Transfer RNA (tRNA) molecules are approximately 80 nucleotides in length. Their secondary structure includes four short double-helical elements and three loops (D, anti-codon, and T loops). Further hydrogen bonds mediate the characteristic L-shaped molecular structure. tRNAs have two regions of fundamental functional importance: the anti-codon, which is responsible for specific mRNA codon recognition, and the 3' end, to which the tRNAs corresponding amino acid is attached (by aminoacyl-tRNA synthetases). tRNAs cope with the degeneracy of the genetic code in two manners: having more than one tRNA (with a specific anti-codon) for a particular amino acid; and 'wobble' base-pairing, i.e. permitting non-standard base-pairing at the 3rd anti-codon position. Lineage: Bacteria; Pseudomonadati; Spirochaetota; Spirochaetia; Treponematales; Treponemataceae. The record is from RNAcentral.
GCGAGAGUGGUGAAAUUGGCAGACACGCUAGACUUAGGAUCUAGUGCCCUAGGCGUGAGGGUUCAAGUCCCUCCUCUCGCACGA